AUGCCUCCAUUGGCAAAGCAACUCACAAUGGCUUCCUCUUCCUCAUUGUUUCUCCUUGCAGCCCUCCUUGCGCUGGCCUCAUGGCAGGCCACUGCCUAUGAUCCUAGCCCUCUUCAGGACUUCUGCAUUGCCGACAUGAAGGCGCCUGUGCGAGUAAAUGGAUUUGCUUGCAAGGACCCAAUGGCCGCAACCCCGGAAGACUUCUUCAACGCAGCCAUGCUCGAUCAGCCUAGGGAUACUAAGGCGAGCAAGGUCAGGUCUAACGUCACCAACAUCAAUGUUAUAAAUUUCCCCGGCCUCAACACCCUCGGCAUCUCGUUGGCACGCAUCGACUAUGGACCAUUAGGUGUGAACACGCCACACAUACACCCUCGUGCCACUGAGCUCCUCACGGUGCUCGAGGGGACACUCUACCUUGGAUUUGUCACAUCCAACCCAAACAGGCUCUUCUCAAAGAUAGUUAAGAAGGGUGAUGUAUUCGUAUUCCCAAAAGCAAUGAUCCACUUCCAAAUGAACCUAGCGCAUGACAAGCCAGCAGCCGCGUUGUCCUCGCUCAGCAGCCAAAACCCUGGAGUUAUUUCUAUUGCCAAUGCAGUGUUUGGAUCAAAGCCACCGAUUUCGGAUGAUGUCUUAGCCACGGCAUUUCAGGUGGAGAAGGAUCUGAUUCACUGGCUUCAAUCUCAGUUCUGGGGGAACACCAACUACUAA
This 708-nucleotide ribosomal RNA is filed under the name Triticum aestivum (bread wheat). Its description in RNAcentral is "partial small subunit ribosomal RNA". Lineage: Eukaryota; Viridiplantae; Streptophyta; Magnoliopsida; Poales; Poaceae. The record is from RNAcentral.